UAUAUAAAUUAAAAUGCAUGUGUUAGUAAAUGACCAAAGCACUCCCUAAACACAACUCACAUGGCGUAACAUGACUGGUGACUGAGAACAUACAAACUCUUCACAGCCAUCUGGUCCCUCUCUCUGGUCAUAUAAAACUGAGUGACCUCCCAUAGCGUUUCCUGGAGAUUUCUUAGAACAAUCAUUCCUUCUUUGCAUCCAAACCCAAAAAUCCAAGGCCUCUGAUCUCCGUAAUUCAUAUAUCUCUUUUUCUCUCCUAAAUUCAUAUGACUGUCAAAAUGCAAAACAAGUCUUGUUUACUUCUUUUCUUAGUUCUCAUUCUUUCUUGCUUCAUAGCUCAAAUCCUUGGGAACAAGCAAUCACAAGCACUUGCUCAGCUUUACAAGUCCAAGUUGAAGGAAGGUGCAGGCAUCGACACAAGCCAAUUCAAGGCAAUUCUUCACGACAAUGGAGCCAAAAUUCAUCCUCAGGAGGGGUUGAAGGAGAAGGACAGGAUUGAUAGCUUGCCUGGACAACCCCAUGUGAAUUUCUCUCAGUAUGGUGGGUAUGUUACAGUGGAUAAAGAAGCAGGUCGUGCACUCUUUUACUAUUUUGUUGAGGCGGAGAAGGCUAAGGAUUCCUCACGUCUUCUUCUAUGGCUCAAUGGAGGUAAAUUACUUUCCUACUCUUGCAAUGUAGUCAGCGUCAACAGCUCAAUGAUGCUGGUAUAAUUUGUCAUUGCUAGGAAAAUUCUGUGUGGUUGAUUGUGAUCUCCUCUUUGUCCGUGCAUACAUUCUUUCCUUUAAUUCUAUUGUUUUUAGUUUUUUGGGUAUUUAAAGGGAUGAAAAUAUAUCCCAUUAAACCACCAAGAGUGCCCAGUAGUUUGUCCGUCAUUUGGGUAAGGUUCUGAGGUUCGGUUGGAUUUGCUCCCCAGUUUGAGUCCAGGCAAUUGCAACACCUGGUGGCUAGCAGCAGGCUCAGUUCCGCGAGUAGGAAUUAGUCGAGGUGCUCAUAAGCUGGCCCGGACACCUCAUGGUAUUUACCAAAAAAUAUAUAUAUAAAUCCCAACAAAAUAAAUGAAAAUUUCACGAUUCUAGUUUGGUACUAGCCACUCUAACCACUCUUUGUAGUGUACCACACGUUUGCAUGAUGGUUGCUAGUUUUCUUUGGCUGGAGGUGACCCAAUAUUGUAUUCAUCAAUUAUUGAUAGUACCGAAAAUAAUAGUUCUUAUUAACCAAAGGGUUAAUAAUCUAUAGUUCUUAUUCAUCAAUUGUAUCAAUUAUAAUAUAAUGACUUUGGUCAAGCAACCACGGCAUUGUGAUCAUGGCUCAAACACACAUGGAUCACUGUUAAUCGUAAUUUAUGCUAGAAUUUACAUCCAUCAAUCACUGACAAUGAUUCAUGCACGACGGACAAACUGCCCUCCUUCGUAUUUUCUUUAACAAUAAUUAAUUACCAUUACUCAUUAUUUUAAAUAUUUUUAUUGUUAGAAACAUUUCAACUUUCAUUCACAUUCCCCAGGUGGCUUCCUGCCUCCCUCUUUAAUUUGCGGAAUGGCUGGGCUAACAAAUCCCAGAAUUCACUCUUGCGGAGGAUAUCCCGGCGCUCAAGCUGUAGCUGUAUAUUUUUCAGUAGGGGAAAUAUAAAAAAAUUUUAAAAUUCAACGUUGACAAAGUUCUUGGUUGAUAACGUGCAGCUCAAUUAUUUAUCAUUAAUAUAAUGAAUCUAAUUUUUUUGGUAGAGAGAGAGACCCUGAAGACUAUAACUUCCUCUUGCAUUAAGCUCUGUGAAUUGGAUCCAGUGACAUUAUCUAUUAGUUUGAUGGCAAUUUAAUAAUUAUAUUACCUGUGUGUCUAUAAUUUAAACGUUGCAAUGACUUAAUGUCUUGACAGGACCUGGAUGUUCUUCUCUUGGCUAUGGAGCAAUGCUAGAGCUUGGACCGUUCCGAAUCCACAGCGAUGGAAAAACACUUUACAGAAACAGAUUUUCAUGGAACUAUGGUAAAUCUAACACAGUUAAAAGGGACUAAAGUAUGAUUUUCGAAGUUUAAAGAAAUUGAUCCUUUUUUCUUUUUUUUUUUCCAGCUGCUAAUGUUUUGUUCCUCGAGUCCCCUGCCGGGGUGGGAUUUUCUUACUCAAAUAAAACAUCUGAUUAUGAUGCCAGCGGGGAUAGAAUAACAGCUGCAGAUAAUUAUGUGUUUUUGGUGAAUUGGUUGGAGAGAUUUCCAGAAUACAAGGACAGAGAGUUUUAUAUUUCUGGUGAAAGCUAUGCAGGGCAUUAUGUACCUCAACUUGCGCAUACUAUUCUUUACCAUAAUAAGAGGGCUAACAAGACAAUUAUAAACCUCAAGGGCAUAAUGGUAACUCUCUCUCUCGUGAAGUAAAAAUCUAUUGCUAAUAAUAAUUGGAAUUUAGACUCUAUUUGGUGCUAUAUUCUUGGAUUCUUGGUAGUUAGUGAAAGUUGUAAUUGUAAAGGUCUUGGGAAAAUGCUUUGCAUUGGUCCCUCUAGCAUGUGGCCAAAUGCCCACAUUUGGUGGAGGAAAAUACUUUCCUAUUUGUCAUCAUAUAUCUCUUUUAGUCUUAGUUUCUCAUAAUUCUUGGUCUAGUCAUUAUCAUUUCUGUUUUUGAUUCCUGUGGUUGCACAUGCUGUGGGCUGGCCCUUUGGUUCCUUUGGUUCGGGCCAUGUGAUCAUGCCCAUUGCCUACCUUUUGUUGGUAUAAAAUUUGCUUAUUGUAUGUUGUAAUGCAAGCAUCAAGUCGAAUAUGGUUGAGUAUAAAUCCAUAAAUUGGGUAAAGAAACAAAAAAGUUCUACGUAUUGGGAGGUGUGUAUCGGGCUCAUACAAUAUUAGGGAAGAAAUUUACUAUUGUUACGUCUCUAGUUUGGUUCUCAAAAUGAAACUCUCAUGUCUAAUCUCAGAAUAUGGGAAUGGAAGAUGUUCAUUUGCCGAUUCUAGGAACACUAACAAAUGAUGGUCAUUUAAUGUCAUUUUCUUUUAUUCCCAUGUUUGGUUUGUGUAGUAUUAAGAAUAAAAUAAUGUUCUAUUUCCGAUAAAUUUUUUUGGCCAUUUAUUUUUUACUUCUAAUUGUCACCCUUCUUGGGUAAGUAAAAAUUUAUUUGGCGCAUGAUGCAGAUUGGAAAUGCAGUGAUUAACGAUGAAACUGAUUCAAGAGGAAUGUACGACUACUUAGCAAGCCACGCCGUCAUUUCGGAUCAAACUGCAAACAAAAUCAACAAAUAUUGUGAUUUUUCACCCAAUGCCACAACGCAGCCUAAGGAGUGCACUGAUGCCACUGAUGCUGCCGCUAAGGAUACCUAUUACAUUGACAUUUACAAUAUCUAUGCCUCCUCAUGCGUUUCCUCCAACGUCACUGCAAAACCCAAAAAGGCUUCAGUGAGUUAAAAACAACGCCCUUAAUUAUAUUACAUGUAGAUAUUUAAUCUCUGCUGUUUUCAAAACAUUUUGUUGUGUUGAACUGCCGAGCUGCAGAUAUUCGAAUUCGACCCGUGCAGCGAGUACUAUGCUUAUGCUUAUUUGAACCGGCCAGACGUUCAACAAGCUCUCCAUGCCAAUGUCACUAAACUCACACAUGACUGGGAACCAUGCAGUGAUGUUAUCACAAACUGGAGCGAUGGUGCAUCGACCGUACUGCCCCUUUUAAAAGAGUUCCUGGCUAAUGAUGUUCGAGUGUGGAUUUUUAGGUGAAAUUUUGAUGCCCUUCUUCUUCUUCAUCAUAUUAAACUUGCAAUUUGCCUUUCUGGAGUUUCAGUAUUUGAAAUGUAAAGCUAAUACCAGCUCAUUCUUAUCGAAAUAAUGAGUGCAGUGGAGACAUAGAUGCAAGGGUACCAGUCACUUCAACAAAAUAUUCUAUUGAAAAGCUGAAUCUUCCAAUAAAGACUGAAUGGCAUGCUUGGUUUCUUGGUGGAGAGGUAGCUUCUCAUUUCUCCAUCUUUUUAUUGUCCUUGGAUUUUCAAAACCACUGGUGUGAAUUAUUUUGGAUGUUUUAUUUAUAUAUAUAUAUUUGUCUUGUGCAACAGGUUGGUGGUUACACACAAGUGUAUGGAGAGCUAACAUUUGCUACAGUGAGAGGGGCAGGGCACCAAGUGCCAAGCUAUCAGCCUGCAAGAGGACUUUCCCUCAUCAAGCACUUCCUUGAUGGCACACCACUCCCUGAUACUACAAGAUAUACCUAAUUUCUUUAAAUAUUUCUAGCUAUCAGAAUGUCAUUACCUUGUUACUAAUUUUUUAGUCCACACAAGGUCACUUGAUUUCUCGCUCUUCUAGUUGUAAUUUAUUUUCAUUGAUUAAUAAAAGUUCAUAACAAUUGCUUUUUUAAUUGAAGCCCCUACCCCCCUAAAGAUCGUCUUGUAAGUUGUAAAGUUAGUCCAAAAUACCCAAACUAUCUAUAAGUGGCGGAGUCAGAAAUUGAUAUUAGAGGGCUUGCGAAAUAUAAAAUUUGAAAGGAAUGAGAGCAUAAACACUACAAAGUUCUAGUGGAGCUUCUACGCAUUAUUUUUCUAAACCUGUUAGUACGAAAAUUGUAUUGGCAUUUCCUAGACUCUAGCAUAGGUUGAAAAUUAGUAUGUGAGGAAUUGUUACUGGAUGUUUUGACACAACUCAUUCAAUCCCAUAUUUCUAAGGCAUAACUUGACCGAUAUGAGAAACUUAACAACAGGUAAAUCAUGACAUAAUCAUGCAUUCACAAUAGGAUUUAUAAUUGAAGUUAUUUUCAAUGUCAUUGUGAUUUAAGUUAAAAUAUUAGUGGUUCCUAUAGUGACGUCCACCAUGCUCAUCUCCUAAUUAACUUGUUUUAGGAGAUAAUUGUUUCUUUAUAAAAAUGGAUGUUUGGUGUCCUCACUAAGAGUCCAUAUUGAAUCACAAUUCAUAUUCAUCAUAAGAUAGUAUUUUAUUUUAUGUUUGGCUUCUUAAUAAACACACCAUAUUGCAUCAGGUUUUGUAAGGAUCGUUGAAUAAGGUUGAAAGUCUUUGUUGAAUAGGAUUCGUGGUCACGUAGGUUUCUCUUGGGUGAGAGAACCUGUUUUGAAUAAAACCAAAGGGCUUUCUACGUAUUAAACUUUUGAUAUAUUGAAUUUGUUUGAGAAAGCUGUUGUGGUUAAUUUCUUCGGUAAGUCAUCAAGUGCUCUCUCGUUGCUUGGUGAUUUAUCGAAUCUUUUCAUAAUUCAUAUUGCAUGCAUACGAACGUCGGUGACUCAUACGGUUGAGGGCACCAAGAAUGUUGUGGCGUUUAUCUUUCGGUGAGCUUGAAGCAAUCGCGACCAAUAUUGCAUUCAUCAUAAGAAGUUUCGAAGAUCAUCCUGUGAGAGAAGUUGAGUUACACAGAAGUCGGUAAACUUUAUCUAGAUUGAGUUUAGGAUAAGUGUGUGGGUACUUCUUGUAAUCUCAAUUCUAUAGUGGAUUUGUUCUGGACCAAAAAGUCCCGUGGAUUUUCCGAAUAGUUGUGAUUUUACCACGUAAAAUAAAUAUCUGCGUGUUUUUUUACUUUAAGAUCUGCACAUUUCAAGAUUACUAAAGAAAGGACAUGCCACUUGGCUGGGGAAAAGAAAAGAUUACUUACUGCAUCAGACAUGAAAGCUCGAUAUGGGUUGUAGGAAAUAUGAGUGCUAAAUUGCUAUAAAAUAAUCAAAUAAACACUACAAACAAAACAAAUUUUUACAACAGUAGUAUGUAAUUAAAAGAACCUUAAUUGAGUCGAGGCAAGUGUUGGACACUCUGACCUUAAGACGAAUUACGCCCCACACUAGUGCUUAUGGUUCACUAGCGUUCGCCUCCUAGGAUACAACGGCUCCCUUCCUUAUGAAAGAAGCACUGCAAUUCACAAGGAACUUUGAACCAAAAUUAUGCAGGAACCUCUCUUUAUGAAGACUCUAAUGCUUUCUAUAUGUGAAAGUCUGUAUGUAGAGGAUUAAACUGAAUUCAUAAAACUGUAGGAGGAUUGCUCUAUUUAUAGAUGAUGAAAUACCCUUUCUAAAAAGGUAUCUUAAUCUGAAAAGGCAAACAAUGCAUCCCUUGGUCUGAAGAGUUGUCACCCCAAACAAUGCAUCCCUUGGUUUGAAGAGUUGUCACCCCCCAUGUGAAGAUGUCUUUAACCCAAGAGCCAUGUCUUUAACCCAGUGGAUUUUAUUAAUUUCCAUUCAAAUAGGAAAAUCAAUAUUAGUUAAUAUUAAAAUUUCCAACAAUCCCCCACAUGAAUGGAAAUUGACUCAACAACAUGCAAACAAAAAAUGAAGACACUAGAGAGAGUCCCUAUUAGAAGAAUACUGCAUCCGGAUAGCUUUUGGCCUUGAACCUUCCAUAGUGGAAUACUAUCGGAUUUACUUGGCUAAUCAGUGAACGUGAUGUCUUGAACUGUUCAGCCGUUUGUGUAAACCCAGACAAUAGCACUCACACAAUAUCCUCCUAAACAUAUUUGGUUCGAUCGGUUGUGCUCGUUUUGGCCCUGAGCAAUUCCUGGUAUUCAUGAGAGCUUUAGAGAAUUCAAGCCUUAAAAAAUUCUCAUAGAAACGGCCUCAUUUCACACUCACAUAGGUGACUUCCUAUUAAGAGUAUCAUGCACUACCCCACUCGGAUUUCCAAGCUAUAGGAAUCAUUAAAAUGAAAGAUUACCCUAAAACACGCUACAGGCAGCACUGUUUCAUCAUAGGAUAUGGGUAGGAGAUGUAAUCUCAGCAGUGCUACUACUUAGUCAACCAUAAUUUGGUUGUCCCUUUUGAACCUAGAUCUUGGGAUCUCCAGUCAGCUAGGUUGGGUAUCCACUAUGGAGACUUUAAAUAUUUAGGCUUAUACUCCCCAUUCCCCUCGAUGAUCAACUAACUCUCUAGUCUGACCUUUAAAUAUUGGAUCCACUAGGUUGACUAUGAACUGAUGGUGUGCACAUUCCAUCUUAUGAAAUUAUAUUCAUUCGAGAGUAGUUGUUUUCAAAAAAUUCCUCCAUGUGUUUUGUUGGGAAUUACUAAGUAAUUUGCCAACUCUUCGGUGGACUUCCCCCACAUUUAAGGUAUUUGUAGGGUCUUCAACCUUUUUAUACCUUAAAAUAAACAUUAUUCUUCUCUUUUAAAGAGCAAAGUACUUUUCCAUUCUUACACAAAUAUGAGAUUACAAAGAUAGUAAAGCCACCCCACAAUUCUCUUACAAUUGUGGUUGCUAUUAAACUACCAAUGAAAUUUCAUACCUUAAACUUUGCAUAUUACGUCUAGUGCAAUUUUGCAAUAGACCCCCACAUUUUCGGAUUCUCAACAUUUGUGUAAUUUUGUUACACAUAUGAAUAUCCUUUAGGAAAUUUCGAAGCCACUUUACUCAUCAUUUCCUUUUAAUGGAAAUUUUCCCUUUCAUACAGACCAUUGUAGUUUGAAGCCUCAUAAUUAGAAACUGAAUUCUACAAAAUAGGGCUUUAUCCCCAUAUUUCAGUUGUUGUCUUUGUAAGACGGAGAAAUACAUGUUUCUGGUCAUUUCAACACUACUUCUCUUCUUGGAAGUAUUCAUCAAUUGUGUUUGUCAAAUAUAGAUAAUACACUGACAUGUUUUCCCUCUUUAGAAAAUUUGCAAAAACCAAAUAUUUGCAAUCUUUCUAUAUGCAAUCCAAUAUAUCAAUUGCGUAUCUUGAUGUCAACCCAAUGGUUCAUAAACAUACGUUUAUAUAACAAGCACUAUAUGCUUCUUAAUGUAUUUGAUCUGUAGAAUUCAUGCAUCAUUUAUGAAUGCAAAAUUUAUAUGAAUAGUCAGAAGCCCAACAAAUGGAUUUAAAAGCCUAUAACCGUUAGAAACUGAAAAUCAAAUUUCUAGUUGGAUCACGUCCAGACACAAUGGCUUCAUUUUAUAUAGACAGGAAAUGGUCCAACAUGCAUACAUAAUUUUAGAUUGUAAAAAAAAAUUUUACAACCCACUUGAUUCAAGUUUAUUCUUCACAUGUUGACCAUGAAUUUACCAACUAGUGAAAUAGAUGCAACGGUUAAAACAAACAAUUAAAAUAUAGCAACUACACCAUAAUAAUUCGUCUUAAGAUUGUAGGAAACAUGAGUGCUAAAUUGCUAUAAAAUAAUCAAAUAAACACUACAAACAAAACAAAUUUUUACAACAGUAGUAUGUAAUUAAAAGAACCUUAAUUGAGUCGAGGCAAGUGUUGGACACUCUGACCUUAAGACGAAUUACGCCCCACACUGGUGCUUGUGGUUCACUAGCGUUCGCCUCCUAGGAUACAACGACUCCCUUCCUUAUGAAAGAAGCACUGCAAUUCACAAGGAACUUUGAACCAAAAUUAUGCAGGAACCUCUCUUUAUGAAGACUCUAAUGCUUUCUAUAUGUGAAAGUCUGUAUGUAGAGGAUUAAACUGAAUUCAUAAAACUGUAGGAGGAUUGCUCUAUUUAUAGAUGAUGAAAUACCCUUUCUAAAAAGGUAUCUUAAUCUGAAAAGGCAAACAAUGCAUCCCUUGGUCUGAAGAGUUGUCACCCCAAACAAUGCAUCCCUUGGUUUGAAGAGUUGUCACUCCCCAUGUGAAGAUGUCUUUAACCCAAGAGCCAUGUCUUUAACCCAAUGGAUUUUAUUAAUUUCCAUUCAAAUAGGAAAAUCAAUAUUAGUUAAUAUUAAAAUUUCCAACAUCUUCAACUAUGGGGGAUUGCUGUCAAGGUGCUUAUGGUUCCUUGUUGUUAGAGAGAGAGAGAGAGAGAGAGAGAGAGAGAGAGAGAGAGAGAGAGAGAGAGAGAGAGAGAGAGAGAGAGAGAGAGAGAGAGAGAGAGAGAGAGAGAGAGAGAGAGAGAGAGAGAGAGAGAGAGAGAGAGAGAGAGAGAGAGUGAGUGAGAGACGAGGACAACGAUGACGCCAUAGCGGUAGUCGUCGUCAUCGAUUUGGUGAGGACAACAGGAGUGAGAGAGAUUGAGAGAGAGAGGAGGCGAGUGUGAGUUAGGGCUGAGAGAGAGAGAGAGAGAGACGAAUGGGAGUGAGUGAGUUAGGUUAGGUUACUUAGUGAGGGUAAUGAUCCAGUGCAAGCAGACUCCGCAUAAACUCUUCUUUGGGCCAAUUAGACAAUGACACAUGGAAAAUGCAUAUAUAAUUACAUAUUAUGCAGUUCGGUUCAGGUCCACCGGUUUAAAAUUUUUUGGACCCGAAGCUUGAAUCGAAGUCAACGGUUCGGGUCAGGUUCAGUGUUGACUUUUUUGGUUUGGUCAAAAAAUCCUUCUUUUUCAAUUUGGUUUGGUUUGGUUUAGCCGAUUCAUUCAGUAAAUCGGUUUUUAUGCCCACCCCUACUUAAAGUCACGAGUCCCACAAUUUAAUUUACAUUCAAUUAUUAAAUAAAUAAAUAAAUAUGGCUCAUUUAUGUACUUUCCCCUUGUGGUUUCAAAGUUGUCUCAGAUUGCCACAUGUUCUUUGAAACGUCUCAAAAUACCACAUACACUUUUAAUAACCGACUCACGUUACCUAUUCCGUCAGUAUUAAGAGACAUUCCGUUACGUGAUGUGGUCCCCACUUCUUGGAGUAUUUAGCCGAACCAAUUCAAAUAAUCUCCUUUUGUCCAAAGCCCAAUUCACAAUUUCCAUAUGUGCUCUUUUGGUCUUCAUCACCCUCCUCCUCUCAACCUUUGAACCCACAACCAAGCCUCACCCAGUCAUCACAAUAGCCUCCAAAAGAUUUCUCUCCCAAAAAUCUCCAACCACCAUCAACACAUACUCCAAAUUACUCAUAAACCAUUCAUGUAAUGGAACGUCUCUUAAUACUGACAGAAUAGGUAACGUGAGAUAGUUAAUAAAAGUGUAGGUGGUAUUUUAAGACGUUUCAAAGAAUGUGGUAAUCUUAGAUAACUUUGAAAACACAAGGAGCAUGUACAUAAAUAAUUUUUCAACACAAUUAGAAUAGCUUUGUACAAGAAAUAAUCUGAUAAGCUUGAGCUUUACUUCUUGAUCAGGCAAACUCCUAGAGUCCAUUAUGAUUAGAAGACCACACUUUGUGAAUUAAGACAAUGAAUUGUCUUACAAUUAAGAGCUAUGGACAAACGCAUAGAGUAUACUCCAAUUAUUUGGACAUUACAAAAUUGAUUGAGCUCUAUUUUUAGAUGAUUUGGCAAGAUAUAUUUGGUUGAUUCUUGCCAGGAAUUUUGAGGUGCCAAAACGAUGCGUAAUGAAUUGGAGUUACAAUACUUCUAGCCAUCCCUCACCAACUCUUUUUUGUUUUUCUUAUUAAAACAAAUUCUGUUUUGCUUUUGUUUUGAAUUUUCAAUCAUGCCAAUUCUAUAGGCAUCAAAGCAAUCCAUGAUUUCAUGAUGUUGACAUGAGUCUCCUAAUUAAUCAAGGAGAUUUACUUCCUUGAUUAAUUAAGCGAAUUACUUUCUAAUUUUUUAUAUAAAUGAUAAAUCAUUGUACAAUUAGGAGAUACUUUUCUAAUUCUUUAUUGUAUCUAAUUCCUUGUAAGACCCUCAUGUAAACUACUAUAUAUACCUCCUUAUGGAGAAGAAUAAAAAAAAACCUAAUGCACUCAAACCAUAUUCAUAUUUUAGCAUAGUAUCAGAGCUAGGUUCUCCUAUGACCUGUGCUUGGGCUAUUCUUGAAAUUUAAGUGCUCUCUCCCCUCCUCUUCAAGGGGGGGAGGGGGAGUGAAAAUGAUAUGUUUAUUGACAUAUCCUCAUUCCCUUGCCGUAUUCCAAUGACGAUACUGCAUAUUUCUUUACUCUGAUGACCCCUUCUCUUCAGGGGGAGAGGGGGAGUGAAGAGAAGUUGUUUUGUCUCUAAACCCUUAUCUCAAAUUUCUCAUAUUCAAAUCCAAAACCCUAAAUCAAAUUCCUCAUAAUUUUCCCCAAAUCCAAAUCCAUCAAAUCUAAAGUCCUCAAAUCCUCUUAUCCAAAUCCCUAAACACAUACCCUCAAAUCUUAUACACAUACCUCUUAACUCCAGUUCCUACAUCAAAUUCCUCACCUUCUCAUAUCAUGUCUUACUUCCGCUGCGAUGUCAGGAACCCCUACGAUUCUCCAUCUUAUUGCAGACUCACAGAAGCAUGUAGUCACUCCUACUAACCCGGCUAUGCGGACUCCUACUUCUAUCACCACCACCAAAGGUUCUACUUUUCAUACGUCCUCCAAGACCAGAUAUUGCAUAUGUUGUGAGUGUGGUUAGUCAGUUUAUGCAUUCAGCCAGUGUGUCCCAUAGGAAUGCAGUUGAUCGAAUCUUAAGAUAUUUAAAGUCAGCACCUGGGAAAUGAUUAAUGUUCUAAAAAAAAUAGAGAUCUCGAAGUUAUUGGAUAUACAAAUGCUGAUUGGGCUGGCUCCAUUACUGAUAGACGCUCUACUUCAGAUUACUUUACAUUCGUGUGAGGUAACCUAGUCACUUAGCGGAGUAAAAAGCAAAAUACGAUUUCUCGGUCUAGUGCAGAAGCAGAGUAUUGAGGAAUGGCUCACGGAGUUUGUGAAUUACUGUGGAUCAGAAGACUCUUGACAGAAUUGGGUUUCAAGCCAGAAAAGCCAAUGGAGUUGCAUUGUGACAACAAGUCAGCUAUCGAUAUUGCCCAUAAUCCAGUUCAACAUGAUCGAACCAAACAUGUUGAGGUGGAUUGGAUAGACAUUUUAUCAAAGAAAAAAAAAUUGAGAAAAAGAUCAUCCGCCUACCAUUCGUAAAAUCAGAAGAUCAACUGGCAGAUAUCUUAACCAAAGCUAUUUGUAGAAGUGUAUUUCAUGACUCACUUACCAAGUUGGGGCAUUAGUGACAUAUAUGCACCAACUUGAGGAGGAGUGUUGACUUGAGUCUCCUAAUUAAUCUAGGAGAUUUACUUCCUUGAUUAAUUAAGGGAUUUACUUUCAUAUUUUUUAUAUAAGUGAUAAAUCAUUGUACAAUUAGGAGAUACUUUCCUAAUUCUUUACUGUAUCUAAUUCCUUGUAAGACCCUCAUGUAAACUACUAUAUAUACCUCCUUAUGGAGAAGAAUAAAAAAAAAAAACCUAAUACAUUCAAACCAUAUUCAUAUUUUAGCACAUUAAAAUUUUUGUGUAUUUCCUCAGUUCUAGCCAGGAGAGUUCGUGGCGGUGCUUCUGAAAAGUAGAAUAUAUGUUCGCUUCCUAGAGCUUUUAUCAAUAGUGCUUUUGGGAGAAUUAUGUGUUAGUAUUAUGCAUUGCAACUCAUUUUCAUUUAUUUUUAAUUAAAAAUGCAAAACGAGAGAAUAAUUUUCGCAUAUAUUGUACAUUGUAAUAAAAUUAUGGAAUAUCUUAUCACAAUCUAAUUGUGACUGACUUACUAGCAAGCACUCGAGGUAUUCUAUUCAACUUAACUUUAUAUGACUACAUUACAAUAACAAAGUUGUAGCUUAUUGUUAUUGGGGACCUUCGAAAAAAAAGAGCAUAAUUACAUUAUCUAAUUGUCAAAUGCUACAAUCAUUCAACAAAAUCAUGAGAGAACUAGAUUAAACAAGAAAAAGGAUCAUCCCAACAAAUUGCAUAAGAAAAAAUCCCCAAAAUUUAACACCCAAACCCUAUAUUAUAAAAACUUAACAGUAACAAUUAAAAUUUAAAAUUGAAUAAAAAGAAAGAGAGAAACUAACUAAGAUUGAAGAAGCCACCAAAGAGAGGUUGAUAGAAUUUUGGAGGAAGAGAGCUACUUCUUCUAAGCUCACGAAGUUCAAUUUCUGGAGUUAUGGGUGGCUAGAAAAGAAAAAAGAAAAAAAAAAGUAGUGAUGGUUCAUACUUGGGCUUAUUUCUACAUGGAGAUGUGGGCUUAAUUCUACAUAGAGGGGUGGGCUAUUAUUUGAUUUACCAAGGCUGGUCCUGUACCACUCGGCCUAUUCUCCAAAAUUAGCAUUGGCUUGAAGCCGUUUUGUAAAUCCGCCCUUUACUACAAUACUCGUACGUCAACAAACCACAAUUUGAAGAGUUUAGUUUGAGGACUAUUGAAUUCCCUUUCUCCAAUAUAGAUGUAUAGAAGAAAGAAAGAAAAAAGUUACCUUAUUUUUAUUGGAAAAGAAAUACGAAGAAGUACCCCAACUACAAUUUUCUAAAACGAAAUUAGCUAAAAUUGAUUUAACAAUCCAUGCCAGAAGCUCGUUUUGACUGAAUCUAUUUGACAAAUCGUCCAAGAAAAAUGCCUAAAGUAGGUUUAUUGAUGGAAGGAACUCAAAAUAAUUAGGGUUUAAACUGAUAUGUUUAUUCUUCUCUCAAUGAGGAAUAUAUAUAUACUACAUACAAAGUGGUUACAAAUAGGGAAUAUGUAUAAAAUCUCCUAAUUCUACUCAAAUUAGAUAAUUAUAAUAAAAUAUAAAUACUAUUCCUAAUAGGAAUGUGGACUCAUGCCAACACUCCCCCCUCAAGUUGGUGCAUAAAUAUCAGUAAUGCCCAACUUGUCAAGUGAGUCUUCAAAUCGGCGCUUUGACACGGCAUGGGUCAACAUAUCUGCAAGCUGCUCUGAAGAAGGGCUAAAAGGUAUAUAAAUUAACUUAUGCUCCAACUUCUCCUUAAUGAAAUGCCAAUCAACUUCUACAUGCUUAGUUCAAUCAUGUUGCACCAGAUUGUUAGCAAUUUCAAAUGCUGACUUAUUAUCCCAGUGGAGCUUUAUAGCAGCAUUCAGUCUAAACCCAAUUUCAGCAAGUAACCACUUUAACCACAGUAUUUCACAAACCCCUUGGGCAAUCCCUCUGUACUCAGACUCUGCAGAGGACCGAGACACAACAUUUUGCUUCUUGCUACGCCAUGUAACUAGGUUACCACUAACAAAGGUGAAGUAACCUGAUGUAGAACGUCUAUAUGUAAUAUUCCUUGCAUAAUCUACGUUAGUGUAACCUUCUAGAUCCAAGUGGCCAUUUUUCUUAAAUAAUAAACCUCUCCCAGGAGUAGACUUUAAGUAACUCAGAAUACGCAUCACAGCAGCCAUAUGAUCCUCACUAGGUGAAUGCAUAAAUUGGCUAGCUAUGGUUACAACAAAGGCAAUAUCAAGGCGUGUCAAUGAUAAAUAAAUCAAUCUCCCAACCAAUCUUUGGUAUCUUUCUUUGUUAGUUGGGACCUGAUCCACAUAAACACCAAUUUUAUGAUUCUCAACAAUAGGUGUAUCAGCUAGUUUACAGUCAAGCAUUCCAAUAUUUGCUAGUAGAUCCAUGACAUACUUCCUUUGUGAAAGAAAUAAGCCAUGUGUAGAUCGAGUGACUUCCACUCCUAGAAAGUAUUACAGAUUGCCCAAAUCUUUCAUCUUAAAUUCAGAUGUUAAACGCUUCGGCAGUUCCUCGAUUUAUACAGUAUCAUCACCAGUCACAAUCAUAUCAUCAACGUAAAUAAUCAACAAAGUCACCUUACCAGCCCUAUGUUUAAUGAAUAGAGUAUGAUCAGUAUAGGCCUGUUGGUAACCAAACUUCUUCAUAGCAUUAGUAAAUCUGCCAAACCAUGCCCGAGGAGACUGCUUUAACCCGUACAUCACCUUUUUUAAUUUGCACACGUUCCCCGUUUCACCGAUAACCUUACACCCUGGUGGAAGACUCAUGUACACUUCUUCUUCUAGUUCACCAUGUAAGAAUGCAUUUUUUACAUCAAAUUGCUUCAGGGUCCAAUCCAAGUUUAUUGCCAAGGACAACAAAACUCUGACAGUAUUCAUCUUAGCCACAGGUGCAAAAGUAUCAUGAUAAUCAACUCCAUAUAUCUGAGUGAACCUUUUAGCUACUAAUCUUGCCUUGUACCUCUCCACAGUACCAUCUGCAUUAUAUUUAACUUUAAACACCCAUCUUCAUUCUACAGGCUUCGUUCCCUUUGAUAGAUCAACAAUGUCCCAUGUAUUAUUUUUUUACAACGCCUCCAUUUCAAUAUUCAUGGCUUCAGCCCACUUUGGAUCAUUAAAUGCCUUCUCAACACCGGUUGGAAUUUUAAUAUUAUUAAAUCUGGUCACAAACGCUUUGCACUCAGGGGAUAACCUUUGAUCAGACACAUAAUGGGCAAUACAUCUCGCUUUGCCUUCUGGUAAGUAACGAUCUGGUGGAACCCCACGGUUCCGUCUAGGCAGUAAAACAUAAGAAUUAUCAUAAUUAUGAAUAGAAGCACUUACCUUAGGAAUAUCCAAAGGAGCUUGAUCGGGUACUAUUAGAGAAACUUCAUGGGGUCAAUCGGUUCAGUGACAGUAGUGACAUCAGUUAAAAUAGCAGGUUCAGCUAGUGUAGCAGGUUCGGCAGGUUCGGCCGGUGUAUCAAACUAUCCAAUACUACUUUCCCUUGUAAAUCUAGCCAGUUAUGUCCUUCACUACUAGUCUCCCCCUGAAGGACAUGCUUGGGUGUAUCAGAGAAGAACCUUUCGUUCUUAAUAAAGGUAAUAUCUAUAGAGACAUAUAGACAUCCGGCUGCAGGAUGAUAGCAUCGGUAACCUUUUUGAUGAAUAGAGAAACCGAGAAAGACACAGUGGAGAGCACAUGGGUCCUGCGUACUCCUCUUAUUCUGAUGGAGGUGAACAUAGACGAUACAACCAAACACCUUUGGAGACAAAGUUAGCAUAGAAGAGGCAGAGAUAUGAUGGGUCAGUACUUGCAUAGGAGUUUGGAAAUCCAAAACUCGUGAAGGUAGACGAUUCAAGAGAUAGAUGCAUAGGUAACAGCAUCCAUCCAAAACCGCUUUGGAAUUGACGCACGAAGCAGCAGAGCACAAGCAACAGCAAGGAUCUGCCCAUUUUUACGUUUAGCAACCCCAUUAUGUUGUGGUGUUUGAGGGCAAGUAGUUUCAUGGAGCACACUCUUAGUGUGAAAAAAAAUGGGAUAACGCCAAAUUAACAAAUUCUCCACUAUUAUUAGAUCGAAAAACCUUGAUUGGGAGCAUAAAUUGAGUCUGAAUCAUCUUAUAGAAACGCUGAAAAAUUUCGACCACAUCACUUUUAUUUUUCAUCCCAUAUAACCACAACAUACAAGUGUAAUCAUCCACAAAGAACACAAACCAACGAACUCCCAAGGCUGUAGAAACAAGAGAAGGUCCCCAAGUAUCAAAAUGAACUAAAUCAAAUGGCAUAAGCCGUUUAUUACAACUUAUAGGGUAGGAUACUCGAUGACUCUUAGCUAAAAUACAAGUCUGACAUUGGAAAGCAGACUCGUUGACACCACUAAAUAAUGCAGGAAACAAAUGUCAUAAAUAUCCAAAGGAGGCAUGAUCAAAUCUGCAAUGUAGCAACCAUAUCCAGCGAUGCUGGGAAGUUUCGGCGCUACCAGCAUGAAGGACCUGACUAGUUGCCACAUCAUCCACAUAAUAAAGCCCCCUAUUUUUAGUACCACGACCAAAGAUCUCUUGAGUCUGGAUAUCCUGUAGUAGACAAAAGACGGAUACAUCAGUACAAUGCAAUUUAGCUACUCAGUAACUUACAGUACAUAUAAUAAAUUACUAGACAAUAACACUUGUCUAAUGGUAAAGCAGGUGUCAAGACUACAGAACCAGCCCACAUGACAGGAGCAAUAGCAUUAUUAGCAAUCAGAGCAUGAUCAAUGAGGCAGAAGAGUAGUAGAGAAUAAAGCAGAAGUAUACGUCAUAUGGUCAGUAGCUCCUGAAUCAAUAAUCCAACCUAUAUUUCUUGUUUCAUGGGCAUGGAAAUCCUUGCCAAAUUUACUUGGAGAAAGAGGUGUUGGAGUGCUUGAAACCACGGUCAAAGUCGGAGGAGAGUAGCAGUAAGGUGGCCGUGCCCAGUGGUGAUGUCAGCCACAGAAGUGAGGGCAACAACCACAUGAGCUUUGCUGUCCAGUUGUUCCCUUUUUAAACGUCUCCACUCCUUCUCCUAAUCUGGUACCCCAUGCAAUGCCAGUGUGUGUCGAUAGUAUGUCUCUUUUGACAGGACCCACCCCGAAUUCCUCGGAAUUCAGGACAAAUCCUGUGAAAAUUUCGGACAUCUCACCGAUGCCGGGCCCACUUACUAAAGACCGAGACUUUCUACCAAAAUUUUGGCAGUCUCCCCUGUAAAUCGAACAUUUUUCAAUAUUUUAACCUGCACAAAAUUCACAAUUUAAUAUCCCAACAGGCAGCAUGCACCAAUCACAUAAUCGACCUCCAGCCCUAACAUAAUUGGAAACAGAACCGCCAGCAAUGUUCUUAAAUCAAAAUAAUGCAUUAAACAAUGCAGAUAAUAAACUCAAACUUAUUUAUAAAUGCCCACUGCAAAUAACAUAAAUUAACUUCCCGAAUUUUUAGCAUGCAUCAACUACCAUCUAUGAAUUAUCACCAAUAGUCCCAGGGGCCUCAACCCAUUAUACCACAUAAUCAAACCUAAAAAGAACAUUUAUUUUGAAAUGGACCUCAGAUAGGUCAGGACCACAUACAAUAUUCAAUAUAAUACACUCACACAACCCUUCCUUAGCCAAACGAGGGUAUGAACAAAUAUUUAAUCGCACCUCGGUUUCAACCGAGUUUCAGGACCAACGGUAAGGUCAGAACCAGACUCCACAAAACCACAUAAGUAAUGUUUAGUUUGUGGCUGCACCUAGGUAUUACCAUAGGCUACCUACAUACCCCUUGUGAGGGAUCAAGCCACACGUAGUUCUUUCCACAAAAAUCCCGGUUCCAAAUACAUACAAUGAUAGGACCCGACCCAAUUCCACUUUGGAAUUCGAGCCGAACCCUGUUCAUGUCCGACACCUGGCGGAUACGGGGCACAAAUGACCUAUUUGCCCUUCCAUUCAAAUACAGUUUAUCUCAAGUUUGACUUUGCCGAAACUUCGGCAGAGUUUCCCCUGUAAAUUGAACAUUUCCCAAAAUUUCUACAUGUCAACAAACAUUUAUAUAUCCCACUCAUUCAGCAUAUGUAAAGAAUAUCCAAGCAAAUCAAGCAUCAUAUUAUUCUGGCCUCAGGCUGUAGCAAUUAAAAUAAAUAAAUCUGCUAAUAAAAUUCAUCUCAACUUUCAGAACAAUAAUAAUACACUGGCAAUCUCAAACAUUCUAACUCGUGGCUGCACCUUGUAACUAUAGGCUGCCUACGUACUCUUACUUUGGAAUCAAGCCACACGUAGUUCUUUAAUUGCAAAACCACUCUAGUUCUCAAGUUUCAUCUCAGCUUUCUGUUUCAAGCUUCCUGGCAUUUCUCACAUGGCAAUAUACAAUGAAACGAAAAAAUAAAAACAUUUAUAUCAAGUAACCAUGCUUGGAAAGCCAUAACCAUCAAUUCUUCGUGACACCAAUGGUGACACGUCCUGUCCAGUAAUCCUCGCUGGACUCAGGAGACAUCUGGUCAACCUGAUCUGCAAAUCUCGCUCCCACAGUCAGGAUAUCUCUAAGACUUGUGAGGCAAAUAUGCUAGAAAGACUUAAGUUAUUUAAUACCAUAUCCAAUAAUAAAAAUAUAAAGGCAAACAACUUAAAUAAAAUAAAAUAAGAUAAAUUAAAGCAAAAUGGAUUAAAAUAAAAUAAACAAGUUCCGAAUACCCUUGUAUCGAACUCACGUAAGGUUCAUAAGUAAACAUAUAUAUAUAUAAUUCCAUCUAUUACUUGUAAAACAAACGUGACGCUUAGGAAAAUAAUGGUAACAGUAUAAAAUCCUCAAUUUAGUUUAAAAGCAUCUCAAAACUUAAAUUCUCUCCACCUAGUCGUACCCCUAUUUCUGAUCCACCAAUUCUGUAUAUGCCGUCAAUUCCAUAUAUCCGUCAAUUCCAUUAAUAAUCUGUCAAUUCCAAUGUUAGUCCAUCAAUUCCAUCCUCGCAGGUCUCAGAGAUAACACUUCAAUCUGAGCCGCAAUCCUCGCAGGCCUCGGAGACACCAAGUCCAUCCGAGCUGCAUUCCUUGCAGGCCUCAGGGGACUAUUAGUCAGCCUGAGCCGCAAUCCUCGCAGCCUUCGGAGAUACUAGAUUAGCUGAGCCGCAAUCCUCAUACCACACGGUUCAGGCGUCCCCGAAACUCAUGGGGCAUUAUCAUAAAUAACAAACUGUCUCAAGGUAACUAGGGGGUACCCUCGCGGUGGGUUUGAAAACCAUAAUACGUCAUUUAUAUAAACUUUCAAUAACUUGGUUCUCAACUAAACUUAAAAUAUAUAUAUAUAUGCCAAAAUCUGAUAAAAAUCAAAAACUAUAAUUCUUCCUUUUCAACCACUGAAUAUAUGUAUCAAUUACUUAGCUAGUUUGUUAACCAUAUCGAUCUUUGACUAACAUAUCAUUCCAAUACUAUAUUUAUAAUCUUACAACACAGUUAACCACAUGAAUAUAUAAGCAGGUGAUAAAUAAACAGAUAAUUAAAUACUCAUCUUGAAUUCACAUAAAUUCAAGAAAUUAAGACCAUAAAUAAACCAAUUGAACACUCGCACGCACAUGAACUUUCUAAAAGUUUGAACAUAUUCUAUGGAGCUCAUCCUCAAUAUUUUAUCCAAAGUCCUGGCACUGGGCUUCUAGAAGUGCGUGCAUUGAAUUGAAGGUCAUUCUCGGGCCUAUGUAAGCUUUUCCAAUGAUUAGAAUGGUCUAGAAGCGCCUCGGGACUCAAAAGUGAUAAGUCCCAAAAAGUCAACCUAGGACCCGUGGGGUCCACAACCUCAAAAUUAUGAUCCGAGAGUACCUAGAGGUUCUAACAUCCCUAGGACAUAUGUCCUGAGAGUCUGAUCUCAAUCGGACGGUCGGACUACUCAUGAUCGAACAGUCGGACUAUUCACGAUCGCACGAUAGGAUGGUUACUGUAAACCAAGCCCUAGGGUUGGCCUUUUCGGAGUAUCCGGGACUCCGAUUCACAAUCCAUUGAAUCCUACACAAUCCUGGAAUUGCAUAGAUCAACAUAUAAGAAAUUGAUUGCAAUCCAACGGUUCAAACGUAUCAAACCCGGAAAUCACACAAUAUGUGAGAUCCGUUCAAGGUUCAAACGUUGUCCGAAUUGAGAUCUGCGAAUUCCUACGCGCUCGUGAAAACAUAAGGAUAAUUUUAGAACAUGAUGUCAGACCACCACCCUGCCCAUGCACCUCCACACGCGCCGGCAGCGCGUGGGUAUCUAGAGUAAACUCCGACGGCCGAAAAAACUCCAAACCGCUGGCCAAGAUUCCUGCCCUAGGUCCAGGACAUCAAUUAGAGUUACUUUUGUUCUUGGACCAAUACCAAAAACUAACCGGAACUAGCCGAAACCGUCGGCAUAAUAUGGGUAUAUGGGACAAUCUGUGAAACUUCAAUAUCUACAUAAAUGGAUAGAGCACGAAGAUUAGAUGAAGUUUCAUACCUUACUCGACAGAUUUCGUGGCCGGGAUCGCCGGAAAAUGCAAAAAUACCUCCGAAAAAAGCCUAACCAUUUCUUAGCUUCGGUUCGAGCCCAUCAUUAGCCAAUUGGAUCGGGUCUUAGGUGGGUUUUAUAGAGGAGGACGAGAUGAACACUUUUCUUGAAGGUGGCAUGGCCAUCUGGUGAACGAUAACGUCGAUUUUGUGGCUUGGAAGUCGAACAGUCAUUGUUGCUACAGUGACUGUUGAAAAACAAAGAAGAAGAAAAAUGGCUGAAGCUGCUGGGGGAGGAAGAAGGAGAGAAAAAUACAAAGAGUUCUGGUACUGUAGCAAUAAGAAAUUUUAAAAUUCCAUUUACGUCAUUUACGUUUCUUGACCUUUCCUCCUUUGUUACGACUCGGAAUUGGGCCUGCCACAUGUCUACGAACUCGUAUUGUCGAGCUCUACGCGAUGGUAUCACCCAAAUCCCCAAAUUCCUCCCCAGUCAAAAAGUCAACUUUAAACCUAAUAAAAUAUUCUAGGGGUAUAAUUUUCUUUAAUCAGAAUAAAUUAUUAAUUAAAAAUUAAUUAAAGACCGGGUUGUUACAUACAAUCAAUGACAACAAUACAAAAUAGUAAAUUCUAGAAUUAUUCCUUUCCCUUUUAAUUUAAAUCCAACACACCAGACAGUAUUCUUUUUAAGCAUCAAUCUUUCCCCGAUAUAGUUAACUAAUCCCUUUUUCCUCUCCUUGUUCUUUUACCACACGCCGAAACUCUCCAAAGCCACGUGUGAUAAUCCAUAACAAAUCACAAGGUCUCACACGCCGGAAUAUUCCAACGCCACGUGUGAGACCAAAUAAUCGCAUAAUCUUCGCAUACGCCGGAAAUUCCAACGCCACGUAUGGGAAGUGUCUUACACGCCGAAAAUUCCAACGCCACGUGUGAGACCUAAUAAUCACAUUAUCUUCCCAUACGCCGGAAAUUCCAAUGCUACGUAUGGAAAGUAUCUCACAUGCCGAAAAUUUCAACGCUAUGUAUGAGACCUAAUAAUCACCUUAUCUUCCCAUACGCUAGAAAUUCUAAUGCCACAUAUGGGAAGUGUCUCACACGCCAGAAAUUCCAACCCCACGUAUGGGAAGUAUGUACUUUUACAUAAUGUAAUCAUAUAACUUUGCACAAUAAAACGUAAUAUCUAAUUCCCAAUUUCCCCCAAAAAUUCAUCCAAGACUUAAUCACAAAUAACUUGACCCUUUACAUAACUCAUCGUCAAAUAAUUCAAACCUUCAAAUAACAAUAUAACAUUUAAUAAUCCCUCAGUUUAAAACAAUAAAUUAAUCUCAUAAUCCCACGUAAUCCCAUAACCCAAAUAACGGUCAAGACUUGUCAAUAGGGUCGUUUUAAUCCUUCUAGAAAGGUGAAACUACCUCAGAAGACUCACGAUCAAUCAUGGGUCAAACUACCCAAACAUGGUCAAACGGGCCCGCAAGGCCCAUGACCUCCAAAUUCUGAUUCGAAAGUUCCUAUGGGUUCUACAAGGUUUAGGAUAUACGUCCUGCAAGUUUGGUCCCGAUUGAAUGGUCGGAUCGCUCGUGAUCACCAGAUCGAACGGUUAUUGUAAAACACAAACUUCAAGUUAUUAAAUCAGAACAUUCGGGGCUCCGAUCCACGAUCCGUGAAUUCCUACAUGACCCUAGGAAUGCCUUGAUUAACAUAUAUUAAAUUCAAGACUAUCCAAUGGUUCAAACCUAUCGAACCCGGAUAACGCACAAUAUGCGAAAUUCAAUUUAAAAUCAAACAGUAUCCAAAUUGAAAUCCGAGCACCCUUACGCGCUCGUGAGAACCUGAAGAUCACCUCGGGACACAAUGCCCAUUUUCUACAGUGCCCACGCGCCGACAGCUCGUGAGUGUCCAAAGCGAUAACCUUUCGCCAGAAAAACUCAACAUUACGACUCAAGACUCCUACCCUAGGUUUAACACCCUAUUUGGAGUCACUUUAAUUGAAAUAUUAUAUGUAAAUACUAUAUUUAUGAGUGGAUAUUCUUAUUAAACAAUUUUUUUUUUAAUGGAUGGGAAAAGAGAAACCUAGAUAAUAAGGAUAUGAACCAAAAAUCAGAGGACGAUCAUAAGAGAUAAGUGAAAUUUUUGUGGGAACAUGAAUAUGAGGAUGACAAUGUAUUAAAUUAUUUGUUUAGGCAUAAAAAUAAGUUUGUAAAAGCAUAUUUUGAAUAUGCUAUGAGUCAUAUUCAAUAAAUAAUAUAUAGUUUUAGUUUGAAGACAUUUCUCUCAAAUUAUUUUAGAAUUAGCUUGAAUUCUAAAAUUUCGUACAUGAGAAGCGAAUGAGAUGGUAACCCAAUCACUUUCUUCCCCUUCAUUACCUCAUUUAGUAUUUUGUUAUGUUACAUACUUACAUAAAAUUUCGAGUAUUUGAGUUGAAAUUGUAUAUAUUAUAUGUAAGCAUAACAUUUAUGUAUUUACUAUUGAUUAUAAAGUGCAAUAUGUAUUAUUUAAGUAUUAUAUUAUUAUAUAUAUUCGUAUUCAACAUUUUUUUUUAUUGAUCAGAACAUGAACCAAUUAUAUUACGAAGAUAUGAACCAAAAAACAAAGAAGGGUCAUAAGGGAAAUUUUUGUUGGAAGAUGCUAUGAGUCAUCUUUUAUUAUAAGACAUUUGUUUAAAGUUAUUUUUAGAAUAAGCACGAAUACAUAUAUAUUUUUAUAUAAUAAUAUGUCAUCUUGAGAAGUAAUUAUAGUGUGGUUUCAGAGUAUGGUCAUAUAAUAUUUAUUAUAAUAUAAGUGGAUAUUUAUUGAUAUUAUGUCUUAAAAGUUGAAUAUCUUAUCAUUAAAUGAUAUUAAACACGUAAGUGAAUUAUACUAUGUAGUUGUAUUUUAGUUCCUUAUAGUAAUUUAUUCACAUUUAAGAAAUAACAAAACAAAAAGAAUAGUUUAGAGUUUCAAAAAUUGUUUUUGGUUACACGUUAAAAAACAAUUUCAAUUUGGCCAAUUGAAUUUAUAUAAAGUUACCCAAGUUUUAUUGAUUUUGGUUACAAGUUAUAUAAAGCAACCCCUAACUCAUGAAUCAUGAAAAAAAUCUGCAAAUGUAUAAUUGUAAUAACAUUAUGGUCCACCCUAAUCCAUAACACUGUAAUACCCUAAUUUACAAAGAAAAUGACACACAAUACCAACGUAAGAAUGGACUUUUGAGGAAUAAAAUUAUGUCAUUAUCCUUGUAAAUACAACUAAAAAUCUUGUAAUCUAUGAGAAAACUGUAAACUUUCUUCUUUUAUACUUGUGAUCUUGAAAUUUAAUCCUAACAAUGUACUAUAAAAUCCAUGGCCAUGUUAGGAAAAGAAUAUACAUUUAUAAUACUUAGUGGAUGUCUAUAAAAGUACAGCCAUGUAACAUAGAGUUCAACAAUUAAUAUAGUUCUUAUUUUAGAAAUUGAUUUCAACCAAUUACAUAGACAAAACUCAAGGUGAAAAAAAUUUGAUGGAUAAAGACUUUCAAGCUCUCAAAUAAAUGUUGAUGCGCAUUCACGAAUUCUAUGAAACAAAAGAAACAAAAAAUUAAAACUAUCAACCUCAAUUGUUUUUUAAAAACUAGGCAUAAAAUACGGAGGAAUUAACCACAAUUAGCUAUCAUAAUUCAUAUAAAUAAAACCAGCAACUCAUAAUGAACUUGAGUAAAGCUACAAUGAGGUCACAUAUCGAAAUCAGAAGGAAAAAAAAAGUCUAAAACGGUUCUCAUUAAAAUAAAAAAAAAAAGCCAUUGCGAAAUUCAUAAGCAUGUCAUCGGGAGUCAAAUAGAAUAAACUCAGUUGAAAAAUAACAUGUCAAAUCAUAUGCCAAUUGCCAAACAGGAAGGGCAUAAUUGCACGACCCUUAUGCAACUGCAUUGUUUCUCUCUUAACCUUCAAAUGUUGCUGUUGUGAGAAUUUCGAAAUACUAGAGAAGGAAGCCUUAACCUUUACCUGCUAUAGUAGGUUAUGUUUCAGUUUGUUUAUAAAUCAAUUAUCAUGUGCUCUAUUAAAGACAAAAGGCGCAUCCAUGCGCUUGGUGCACCCUAGUCGUUGCCUUCACGAUGAUAGCAAAAGACGCAUGCACUACAAGGCACAUACCACUCCUUGCAUGUCACAUUCAAGUAUCAAUCAUUGCACCACAGCCUCAACCACAGUUAUCAUCUCAUCUCUUGUCUUCUUUCAAUUUUUUACUUCCAAGAAAAAGUACAAGGAAAAACAAUUCAUGGAAAUGAUAAAAAUUAGCAUGUUUACUUACAAGUAAUGGAAAUGAUAAGAAAGUGAAUUAUUUUCAUUCAUGAGUUUCAUGCAUUUACUUACAUAUGAGAAAUCAUUUAAUACGCGAAUUUCACUUACAAAUCCUUAAUCAAAUACUCAAAGGAAUGGAAAUCGGAUCCCUCCUAGUUGGUUUGAUUCUUAUUCCUUAUUUAUCCUAUUCCGUUUUUUCUUAUUCUGAUUACUUAUAAGUGAACAUGCCAUGGGUCUUUCUAAAAAUAUUAAAUGGGAGCCACCACCUCCAACUUUAAAGUUAGUUUUGAUGGCCAACGUGGUCUAACUUAGUGAAAAAGGGUCUUGACUUGCAGACCAGUAGUCACAUCUUCGAAUCCCCUUAACAUCUUAAAUUAUUUGUUACUCAUUUCCUUUGUCAGGUUGGAUCAUUUCAUUUUAUAUAAAUUAAAAUGCAUGUGUUAGUAAAUUACCAAAGCACUCCCUAAACACAACUCACAUGGCAUAACAUGACGUGUGACAGAACAUACAAAGUCUUCACAACCAUCUGGUCCCUCUAUCUUGUCAUAUAAGACUGAGUGACCUCUCAUAGCCUUUCGUGGAGAUUUCUUAGAACAAUCAUUCCUUCUUUGCAUCCAAACCUAAAAAUCCAAAGCCUCUGAUCUCCCUAAUUCAUAUAUCUCUUUUUCUCUCCUUAAUUCAUAUGACUGUCAAAAUGCAAAACAAGCCUUGUUUACUUCUUUUCUUAGUUCUCAUUCUUUCUUGCUUCAUAGCUCAAAUCCUUGGGAACAAGCAAUCACAAGCACUUGCUCAACUUUUCAAGUCCAAGUUGAAGGAAGGCUCAG
Molecule: long non-coding RNA, 25132 nt
Filed under: Prunus persica (peach)
Lineage: Eukaryota; Viridiplantae; Streptophyta; Magnoliopsida; Rosales; Rosaceae
Description: long non-coding RNA (PPER_LNC001769)
Source: RNAcentral